This is a long non-coding RNA of Lates calcarifer (barramundi perch), 1584 nucleotides long. RefSeq lists it as uncharacterized. Lineage: Eukaryota; Metazoa; Chordata; Actinopteri; Centropomidae. The transcript is spliced from 2 exons. The record is from RefSeq and is a predicted model, not a curated record.
CGCAGCAAUGCUAACAGGAGCUAUGCCUGGUUGGUCUGCACUGACUAUGGGGGGCUGGCUAGCACGAGCUACUGAAUUUGCUUCCAUGGUGCAGAGCCAGGUCUCUAAUUCACUAAGCCUUGCCUCAAGCACAGUAAACGAACUACAUUUAUUACACAUACCAUCAUCAUUAAAUGAGGCAGAGGAGUAACUGAGCAUCUGACACGUAGAGCAAGAGAGAGCAGGAGAGGGAGAAGGAGAGCAAGAAGCCAUGGCUAGCAGUUCAGCUAAAGUCACUAGCAGAGGAUAGUGUGAAUCGGUGUAGAAGUGGCGAAAGAGUCGCACAGAAUAAAAGAGUUGAGGGUGAAUUAGCAACUUCUGUUACUGUGAAUGUGCAGAUUAAGUUGGUGAUGAAGACACAGAUGUAGUGUUGGUAAGAGAAAAAUGAUAUAAACUGAGACAGACAGCAAUCUGAAACACGUUGCACGUCACGCUGCACGUUAGCAUGUCAGCACGUCAGCACAAUCAACAGACAACUAAAUGCAAUAUCUAAAUAUACAGUGUUUCACCUGGGGUGACUGUUAUGAUGUGGUAGGUUUUCUUGCAGGGUGGGUUCAUGUAGUGGUAUAAUAACUGAUAAUAAUCCACUAUAAACUCGCAGAGAACUCGGACUAGCUUCCCUGUCAUCAGCGUCAGAGACACUGUCAUCAUGUUCAGACGUUUGGGGUCAAUAUCUGUUCAUCUAUGAUUUAAAAUCUUAAUAACAGUUAUGGGAGAUUUUCAUGGGCUUAAUAUAACAAGUCGUCAGCCUGUCUCCUCUGCUCAGGAGAAGAGAUGAACACAGCUGUGACAACAAAAUGUGACACCACCUCACAUCAAUAAUAACAUCAAUAAAAUAUUUAGUUUUCUUGACAGAGUAAUUGACAUGGAAGUUGACACCAUUUUGUCACCUGACGGCCACUGCAGAAUCUCCAACACGCUCAGAGAGGGAAAGUUCAGGGGACGAGUAUUCAGUUGGCAAUCUGUGUUCUCACCACUAGAGGUCACUAAAUCCUACACACUGCUGCUUUAAACUGUUGAGAUCCUGAACUGAUCCAGCAUGUAACCACCUGGCUCUUCUCAGUGACCUUUAACCUCCACUGAUGUUGUGCAUUUAGUCAGUGGUCAGUUUAUUAGGUGCAGCCAGUAUUAAAUCUAUGUCAAUCCUGUAAUGAAUCCUCAGGUGAAUCCAGUCUGAGUUGCUGCUGAGUUGAACUGCAUCAUCCAAGAGGUGUUUCUGAUAUUUGCUGAUAUCAAUCUGAGUGACUGAUCAAUAACUAUGUGGCUCAUCAAUAACCAUGUGACCACCUGCCUGUGUCCAGGCUGCCUGCGGCAAGUAUGAAGGACCCUGCACCAAGGAGUUUGAUCCAGUCUGUGGCAGUGAUGGGACCACCUAUGGCACAGAGUGUGUUCUCUGCCUGCACAACAGGAAAGAGAAGAAGAAUGUGAAGGUAGCAUUCAAAGGAGUGUGCUCUCAUUAACCAACUGUGGUGGACACACACAUGCACACACACACACACACAUUCCCUGUAUGUUGCCAUCUGAAUAAAGCUCCAUCCUGCAGCA